Eucalyptus grandis is the source of this 939-nucleotide long non-coding RNA. RefSeq lists it as uncharacterized. The record is from RefSeq and is a predicted model, not a curated record. NCBI's taxonomy places the organism in Eukaryota, Viridiplantae, Streptophyta, Magnoliopsida, Myrtales, Myrtaceae. The transcript is spliced from 4 exons.
CAAAGAGAAUUCUGAAUUUCUUUCUUCUCUUCGUUAAUUUUUAUUGAUUUUCCCGUUGUGGGAAGCUCUCCCUCCUUUUCUCCGCCAUAGCCAAACUUCCAACUCCAUCGUACGACACCAGUGAGCUUUAACGCAUUGAAGAUCGCCGUCUCCCAACGGAGGCGACGAAUAGAAGAAGAAGUUCGUCUUCCGGAAACGGAGUCCCCAGCGAACCGACGGCUGACGGAGACUGGCCAGCGGAGGCGACGGACUGCCACCGUCGACGGAAGCCAUGGAGACUGGCUACGUAGCUUCAGGUGAACGAUUCUCUCCUGAGGUUCUGGGCUUCAUGCAGCUUGCUAUAUAGAUCAGGCAACAAGACAUGCAGAGAUGGAAGCCCUUGAUAUUCUUCUUGAGCAGUGGCGGUGGACUGGAUUUUUACCUGCAGAAAUUGCAGAGAAAUUUUCAACAUGCGCCCUUUAUAUGAGCUCCAAAGCCUCACAGGCCAUGGGUUACUCAGGCUUCUUAUUAGAUCUACGUGCAUUGGUUCUUCCUGUUGAACCUCUCAUGGCUUUGCACGACUAGAAUUUCCUCAAGAAGCCCGAGAAGAGAAGCUUGAUUCUUGUCCAGAUCAGUUUUUGCCUGGUGGUCAUGUGUUCACUAAGAAUUGAAGUUACAGUCACAUGUUAAUUUCAUACUUUAACUUAAUUAUUAGACCAUUAAGAUAAUUAAUGGCAUGACCCUAUGUAGGCACCACUUUUCUGAUGCUAAUUUUUGUCAUCAACAUAUUCUGUAAUCCACUUGAUUUUUUUUUUUUUUUUUUGAGUUUUUAGAACUUUGAGUUAAUUCUAGGCAUACUAUUGAUGUGUUUGAGCACCAGAGUUCGGACUAUAUCUUGUGUGAUCCCAAAUGAUGAUAAAAGUGGUAUAUAAUUUGAAUGUCAUUUGCACGGAUUUCCUG